AUUUUGUUUAAUUAUGGCAAAAGGAGGGGGUAACAGUUGAACUGCAUAGUAAAAUUUUAUAUACGAAACUAGGUAAAUAAAAGUUACGAUAGAAUUAGCAGUGAGUUCUUUUAGUUUCAUGAAAGUGAGAAUAGGCAACGUUACAGAGGAGGAUAAAUCACAGUGCCAGCAUCCGCGGUUAUUCUGUUUCCUUUACACUCCUAAAUAGUAUGAAGGUUAGCCAGUAACUACUAUUUUAAUUGUAAAAAGUAUAUAAAUAGUUAUAAUUAUUCUGGCUGAGGUACUUAUUGGCUUAUUUGUAAAGCAAAUUAGAUACUUGCUUAACAAGCUACAUAAAUAAAUUUUAGUAAAACUAAAAUUAUUUUGGCAGCUGAUUAACCCUAGCAGGGGAGGGUGCCUUGUAAAAGAUAUUCCACUUAAAAACCAACCAACGUAAAUUUAGUUGGUGUACGUCCGGUUACAUAUUGAUAGUGAUAGCUUAUUAUCGGUGUAAAUGAGUAAUUUAAGCCAGGUCUAUGUGCUACUGAUACGUUGGUUUAUGGUGCCCUACAUUUAAAAGAAACCUGUAAAAAUAAAAUUUAGGACUUGCAAGUAAGAAUAAAUUAGCGUGUUAUUCUGAAGGGGGUUUAAUUGGGGUACACACCGCCCGUCAAUCUCGAUUAUUAUUGAGAUAAGUCGUAACAUGGUAACCCCGGGGGAACCGGGGGUUAGUAAGGGAUAAGAGCGUUCUUUAAUCCCUAGG
This 742-nucleotide ribosomal RNA is filed under the name Euryhaliotrema johni. RNAcentral's name for it is "12S ribosomal RNA". The record is from RNAcentral. Lineage: Eukaryota; Metazoa; Platyhelminthes; Monogenea; Dactylogyridea; Ancyrocephalidae.